This 599-nucleotide ribosomal RNA is filed under the name Tesserocerus belti. RNAcentral describes it as "eukaryotic LSU rRNA". The record is from RNAcentral. Lineage: Eukaryota; Metazoa; Arthropoda; Insecta; Coleoptera; Curculionidae.
AAUGUCGAAUAGAGAAAUUCAUUCGUGUAAUGCGACAAACGUAUAUUUUAAAUGUGUGGACGUAAAGUCGGAAAGAAUUUUUCGAUUAUUUUCGCCAUAUUUUAAAUACGAUUUUGUUGUGAACGCGUGCACUUUUCUCUUUGUAGGACGUCGCGAUCCGUUGAUAAAUAAUAUAGUGUAAGAUUUAUGACGAUAGGUAAAUGACCGUUUGUUUCGUAAAACGUAAAAAAUUUUGCGAUUAACUAAACGGAACCUUAACGAUACUAAUCUACAUAGUCGACGGUAAAAGAAAAUAAUAGUAUAAAACCGCCUUAUUCGGCGUUAGUAUCGUAACAAGUAUUAUAGUAGGGUUAAACCGUGAUAGAAUAAUUUAUUGUAUUCGGUACCUCUAUAGUAUUGUUAGUUACGAAUAUAAUCUAACGGAGUUUUUUACUUAUCGGCGACGCUAUAGGUUUGGGUAAUUUCAGGACCCGUCUUGAAACACGGACCAAGGAGUCUAGCAUGUACGCGAGUCAUUGGGUAUAUUAUAUUGAAAAACCUAAAGGCGUAAUGAAAGUAAAUAUAAUACGGAUAAUAACGUAUUUAUAUAGGGAAGAUGA